This 1550-nucleotide ribosomal RNA is filed under the name human gut metagenome. RNAcentral describes it as "bacterial LSU rRNA". It matches the Rfam family "Bacterial large subunit ribosomal RNA", at positions 844 to 2410 of the family's 2925-position model. The record is from RNAcentral.
GAUAGCUGGUUCUCCCCGAAAUAGCUUUAGGGCUAGCGUCGGAUAUGUGUAGUGGAGGUAGAGCACUGAAUGGGCUAGGGGGCAUAGCGCUUACCGAACCUUAUCAAACUCCGAAUGCCACAUACAUUAAGUCCGGCAGUCAGACUACGAAUGAUAAGAUCCGUGGUCAAAAGGGAAACAGCCCAGAUCGUCAGCUAAGGUCCCAAAGUGUAAGUUAAGUGGAAAAGGAUGUGGGAUUUCUAAGACAACUAGGAUGUUGGCUUAGAAGCAGCCACUCAUUAAAAGAGUGCGUAAUAGCUCACUAGUCGAGAGAUCCUGCGCCGAAAAUGUCCGGGGCUCAAACUUACCACCGAAGCUACGGGCUUGCGUAAGCAAGCGGUAGGGGAGCGUCGUAAUCGGGCUGAAGUCGUACCGUAAGGAGCGGUGGACUGAUUACGAGUGAGAAUGUUGGCAUUAGUAGCGAGAUGUAGGUGAGAAUCCUACAGGCCGAAUAUCUAAGGUUUCCUCAGGAAGGCUCGUCCGCUGAGGGUUAGUCGGGACCUAAGCCGAGGCCGAAAGGCGUAGGCGAUGGACAAUCGGUUGAUAUUCCGAUACCACUACCAUCGUUAUUAUCGAGGGUGUGACGGAGAAGGAUAGUGUGUGCUAGCGAUUGGAAAUGCUAGUCUAAGCGUUUAGGGAGUUACGGUAGGCAAAUCCGCUGUAACAAUUCUGAGGCGUGAUGGGGAAGGCCAUAUAGGCCGAAGUACAUGAUUCCAUGCUUCCAAGAAAAGCAUCUAGAGAGAGAAGUAGUGCCCGUACCGCAAACCGACACAGGUAGGUGAGGAGAGAAUCCUAAGGCCGGCGGAAGAAUUGCAGUUAAGGAACUAGGCAAAUUGACCCCGUAAGUUCGCGAGAAGGGGUGCCUGCGAGAGCAGGCCGCAGAGAAUAGGCCCAAGCAACUGUUUAGCAAAAACACAGGUCUCUGCUAAAGCGUAAGCUGAUGUAUAGGGGCUGACGCCUGCCCGGUGCUGGAAGGUUAAGGGGAACACUUAGCGCAAGCGAAGGUAUGAACUUAAGCCCCAGUAAACGGCGGCCGUAACUAUAACGGUCCUAAGGUAGCGAAAUUCCUUGUCAGGUAAGUUCUGACCCGCACGAAUGGCGUAAUGACUUGGGCACUGUCUCAACUGCAAAUCCGGCGAAGUUGUAGUGCGAGUGAAGAUGCUCGCUACCCGCGAUUGGACGGAAAGACCCCGUAGAGCUUUACUGCAGCUUAGCAUUGAAUUCCGGUAUUGUCUGUACAGGAUAGGUGGGAGACUGGGAAACUAGGGCGUCAGCCUUAGUGGAGUCAACCUUGGGAUACCACCCUGACAGUACUGGGGUUCUAACAGGACGCCAUGAAUCUGGUGACUGGACAUUGUUAGGUGGGCAGUUUGACUGGGGCGGUCGCCUCCUAAAAAGUAACGGAGGCGCCCAAAGGUUCCCUCAGAACGGUCGGAAAUCGUUCGUAGAGUGCAAAGGCAGAAGGGAGCCUGACUGCGAGACCUACAAGUCGAGCAGGGACGAAAGUCGGG